This 460-nucleotide ribosomal RNA is filed under the name uncultured bacterium. RNAcentral's name for it is "bacterial SSU rRNA". It matches the Rfam family "Bacterial small subunit ribosomal RNA", at positions 340 to 789 of the family's 1533-position model. The record is from RNAcentral.
UACGGGAGGCAGCAGUGGGGAAUAUUGCACAAUGGGCGAAAGCCUGAUGCAGCUAUGCCGCGUGUAUGAAGAAGGCCUUAGGGUUGUAAAGUACUUUCAUCGGGGAGGAAAAAACAAAACUAAUAAUUUUAUUUCUUGACGUUACCCGAAAAAGAAGCACCGGCUAACUCCGUGCCAGCAGCCGCGGUAAUACGGAGGGUGCUAGCGUUAAUCAGAAUUACUGGGCGUAAAGAGCACGUAGGUGGUUUUUUUAAGUCAGAUGUGAAAUCCCUGGGCUUAACCUAGGAACUGCAUUUUGAAACUGAAAUACUAGAGUAUCGUAGAGGGAGGUAGAAUUCUAGGUGUAGCGGUGAAAUGCGUAGAUAUCUGGAGGAAUACCUGUGGCGAAAGCGGCCUCCUAAACGAAUACUGACACUGAGGUGCGAAAGCGUGGGGAGCAAACGAGGGAUUAGAUACCCGU